Small nucleolar RNA from Magnolia sinica, 107 nucleotides. The record is from RefSeq and is a predicted model, not a curated record. Lineage: Eukaryota; Viridiplantae; Streptophyta; Magnoliopsida; Magnoliales; Magnoliaceae.
UAGCCAUGAUGUGGGCAAGAGUUCAGAAUAUCCUUGAAUCUCUCCCAGUAUUGGAAGAAGGUCUCUUCCUUUUUCUGAGAGAAAUUCAUGAUCUCCCUCCUAAGGGU